RNAcentral lists this ribosomal RNA (505 nucleotides) under uncultured bacterium. RNAcentral describes it as "bacterial SSU rRNA". It matches the Rfam family "Bacterial small subunit ribosomal RNA", at positions 32 to 514 of the family's 1533-position model. The record is from RNAcentral.
UCAACGCUGGCGGCGUGCCUAACACAUGCAAGUCGAACGCGAAAGUGGAGCAAUCCAUGAGUAGAGUGGCAAACGGGUGAGUAACACGUGGGCGACCUACCUCAGAGUGGGGGAUAACCUUCCGAAAGGAGGGCUAAUACCGCAUGACAUCCCGUGUUUGGAUACACGGAGAUCAAAGCCGGGGAUCGCAAGGCCUGGCGCUUGGAGAGGGGCCCGCGUCCGAUUAGCUAGUUGGUGAGGUAACGGCUCACCAAGGCUCCGAUCGGUAUCCGGCCUGAGAGGGCGGACGGACACACUGGAACUGAGACACGGUCCAGACUCCUACGGGAGGCAGCAGUGGGGAAUUGUUCGCAAUGGGCGAAAGCCUGACGACGCAACGCCGCGUGGAGGAUGAAGAAUUUCGGUUCGUAAACUCCUUUCGACCGAGAUGAACACCCCGCAACCCAAUACGUUGCGGGACUGACAGUAUCGAGAGAAGAAGCCCCGGCUAACUCUGCGCCAGCAG